RNAcentral lists this ribosomal RNA (253 nucleotides) under uncultured bacterium. RNAcentral's name for it is "partial 16S ribosomal RNA". It matches the Rfam family "Bacterial small subunit ribosomal RNA", at positions 524 to 776 of the family's 1533-position model. The record is from RNAcentral.
UACAGAGGUGGCAAGCGUUGUUCGGAAUUACUGGGCGUAAAGGGCGCGUAGGCGGCCUUCUAAGUCAGACGUGAAAUCCCCCGGCUUAACCUGGGAACUGCGUCUGAUACUGGGAGGCUUGAGUAUGGGAGAGGGAUGUAGAAUUCCAGGUGUAGCGGUGAAAUGCGUAGAUAUCUGGAGGAACACCGGUGGCGAAGGCGGGUCUCUGGGCAGUAACUGACGCUGAGGAGCGAAAGCGUGGGGAGCGAACAGG